RNAcentral lists this ribosomal RNA (425 nucleotides) under uncultured bacterium. RNAcentral describes it as "partial 16S ribosomal RNA". It matches the Rfam family "Bacterial small subunit ribosomal RNA", at positions 354 to 796 of the family's 1533-position model. The record is from RNAcentral.
GUGGGGAAUCUUGCGCAAUGGGCGAAAGCCUGACGCAGCCAUGCCGCGUGAAUGAUGAAGGUCUUAGGAUUGUAAAAUUCUUUCACCGGGGACGAUAAUGACGGUACCCGGAGAAGAAGCCCCGGCUAACUUCGUGCCAGCAGCCGCGGUAAUACGCAGGGGGCUAGCGUUGCUCGGAAUUACUGGGCGUAAAGGGCGCGUAGGCGGACAGUUAAGUUGGGGGUGAAAGCCCGGGGCUCAACCUCGGAACUGCCUUCAAUACUGGCUGUCUUGAGUAUGAGAGAGGUGUGUGGAACUCCGAGUGUAGAGGGGAAAUUCGUAGAUAUUCGGAAGAACACCAGUGGCGAAGGCGACACACUGGCUCAUUACUGACGCUGAGGCGCGAAAGCGUGGGGAGCAAACAGGAUUAGAAACCCGGGUAGUCC